Molecule: ribosomal RNA, 429 nt
Filed under: Actinomycetes bacterium
Lineage: Bacteria; Bacillati; Actinomycetota; Actinomycetes
Description: Actinobacteria bacterium partial 16S ribosomal RNA
Rfam family: Bacterial small subunit ribosomal RNA
Source: RNAcentral
UAGGGAAUCUUCCGCAAUGGGCGAAAGCUUGACGGAGCAACGCCGCGUGAGUGAUGAAGGUCUUCGGAUCGUAAAACUCUGUUAUUAGGGAAGAACAAAUGUGUAAGUAACUAUGCACGUCUUGACGGUACCUAAUCAGAAAGCCACGGCUAACUACGUGCCAGCAGCCGCGGUAAUACGUAGGUGGCAAGCGUUAUCCGGAAUUAUUGGGCGUAAAGCGCGCGUAGGCGGUUUUUUAAGUCUGAUGUGAAAGCCCACGGCUCAACCGUGGAGGGUCAUUCGAAACUGGAAAACUUGAGUGCAGAAGAGGAAAGUGGAAUUCCAUGUGUAGCGGUGAAAUGCGCAGAGAUAUGGAGGAACACCAGUGGCGAAGGCGACUUUCUGGUCUGUAACUGACGCUGAUGUGCGAAAGCGUGGGGAUCAAACAGG